Molecule: long non-coding RNA, 247 nt
Organism: Solanum verrucosum
Lineage: Eukaryota; Viridiplantae; Streptophyta; Magnoliopsida; Solanales; Solanaceae
Exons: 2
Source: RefSeq, a predicted model, not a curated record
UUGGGAAGUCCAUCAGACAAGCCUCUAGCAAAUCCGGGCUGAGUUUGAACACGAACUUUGACAGCCUCAAAUGGGCAGAGAGCAACAUCAGCAAUAACUUCAGCAGAAGCAGAACCAGCAAGGUAAAUCAAAGUUUUGUACUUGACAGCAUUCUCCGCGCCAGCAAGAUCUGAGUAGUACUUCUUGAAAUAUUCAUAGAAUCCGUAUUUGCAUGCUCCUUGUGCACUGUAACCAAGGAAAGUAGGUG